GGGGGCGUAGUGUAGCGGUUUAACAUGCCGGCCUGUCAAGCCGGAGAUCGCGGGUUCAAAUCCCGUCGCUCCCGCCA
Molecule: transfer RNA, 77 nt
Filed under: Chloroflexota bacterium
Lineage: Bacteria; Bacillati; Chloroflexota
Description: Chloroflexi bacterium (anaerobic digester metagenome) tRNA-Asp
Rfam family: tRNA
About the family: Transfer RNA (tRNA) molecules are approximately 80 nucleotides in length.
Source: RNAcentral